GGGCCCGCACAAGCGGUGGAGCAUGUGGUUUAAUUCGAUGCAACGCGAAGAACCUUACCUGGCCUUGACAUAUAGGGAAAAACUAAAGAAAUUUAGUGUGCGUAAGCGCCCUAUACAGGUGGUGCAUGGCUGUCGUCAGCUCGUGUCGUGAGAUGUUGGGUUAAGUCCCGCAACGAGCGCAACCCUUGUCCCUAGUUGCCAGCAUUCAGUUGGGCACUCUAGGGAGACUGCCGGUGAUAAGCCGGAGGAAGGUGGGGAUGACGUCAAGUCCUCAUGGCCUUUAUGUCCAGGGCUACACACGUGUUACAAUGGGGGUGACAAAGAGUGGCCAAGCUGCGAAGCUGCGCAAAUCUCAAAAAACCGUCCUCAGUUCGGAUUGGAGUCUGCAACUCGACUCCAUGAAGGUGGAAUCGCUAGUAA
Molecule: ribosomal RNA, 420 nt
Filed under: uncultured bacterium
Lineage: Bacteria
Description: bacterial SSU rRNA
Rfam family: Bacterial small subunit ribosomal RNA
Source: RNAcentral